UACGUGGAGUGCAAGCGUUGUCCGGAAUUAUUGGGCGUAAAGGGUACGUAGGCGGAUAGUAAAGUCAAGCGUGAAAGGUGUCGGCUUAACCGACAGACUGCGUUUGAAACUGAUUAUCUUGAGUGUAACAGGAGGAGAGUGGAAAUUUCCCUAGUGUAGUGGUGAAAUACCGUAGGAUAUUAGGAAGAACACCAGUGGCGAAGGCGACUCUCUGGGUUAACACUGACGCUGAGGUAUGAAAGCUGGGGGAGCGAACGGGAUUAGAUACCCCCGUAGU
This 277-nucleotide ribosomal RNA is filed under the name uncultured bacterium. RNAcentral's name for it is "partial 16S ribosomal RNA". It matches the Rfam family "Bacterial small subunit ribosomal RNA", at positions 524 to 794 of the family's 1533-position model. The record is from RNAcentral.